AAUCCAUAGGUUAAUGAGGCGAACCGGGGGAACUGAAACAUCUAAGUACCCCGAGGAAAAGAAAUCAACCGAGAUUCCCCCAGUAGCGGCGAGCGAACGGGGAGGAGCCCAGAGCCUGAAUCAGCAUGUGUGUUAGUGGAAGCGUCUGGAAAGGCGCGCGAUACAGGGUGACAGCCCCGUACACAAAAGCGCAUGUGCUGUGAGCUCGAUGAGUAGGGCGGGACACGUGGUAUCCUGUCUGAAUAUGGGGGGACCAUCCUCCAAGGCUAAAUACUCCUGACUGACCGAUAGUGAACCAGUACCGUGAGGGAAAGGCGAAAAGAACCCCGGCGAGGGGAGUGAAAAAGAACCUGAAACCGUGUACGUACAAGCAGUGGGAGCACCCUUUGGGGUGUGACUGCGUACCUUUUGUAUAAUGGGUCAGCGACUUAUAUUCUGUAGCAAGGUUAACCGUAUAGGGGAGCCGGAGGGAAACCGAGUCUUAAUUGGGC
This 491-nucleotide ribosomal RNA is filed under the name Salmonella enterica subsp. enterica serovar Oranienburg. RNAcentral describes it as "partial 23S ribosomal RNA". It matches the Rfam family "Bacterial large subunit ribosomal RNA", at positions 161 to 693 of the family's 2925-position model. The record is from RNAcentral. Lineage: Bacteria; Pseudomonadati; Pseudomonadota; Gammaproteobacteria; Enterobacterales; Enterobacteriaceae.